GACGAACGCUGGCGGCGUGCUUAACACAUGCAAGUCGAACGGACAGACAGAGAGCUUGCUCUCUUGAAGUUAGUGGCGAACGGGUGAGUAACGCGUAAUCAACCUGCCCUUCAGAGGGGGAUAACAACGGGAAACCGUUGCUAAUACCGCGUACGAUUCAUGAACGGCAUCGUUUAUGAAUGAAAGGUGGCCUCUAUGUAUAAGCUAUCGCUGAAGGAGGGGAUUGCGUCUGAUUAGCUAGUUGGAGGGGUAACGGCCCACCAAGGCAAUGAUCAGUAGCCGGUCGGGGAGGAUGAACGGCCACAUUGGGACUGAGACACGGCCCAAGCUCCUACGGGAGGCGGCAGUGGGGAAUCUUCCGCAAUGGACGAAAGUCUGACGGAGCAACGCCGCGUGAGUGAUGAAGGUCUUCGGAUUGUAAAGCUCUGUUAAUCGGGACGAAAGAGUUCUGCGUGAAUAAUGCAGAAAAGUGACGGUGCCGGAAUAGAAAGCCACGGCUAACUACGUGCCAGCCGCCGCCGUAA
This 524-nucleotide ribosomal RNA is filed under the name uncultured bacterium. Its description in RNAcentral is "partial 16S ribosomal RNA". It matches the Rfam family "Bacterial small subunit ribosomal RNA", at positions 28 to 523 of the family's 1533-position model. The record is from RNAcentral.